Molecule: unclassified non-coding RNA, 303 nt
Filed under: plant metagenome
Description: partial contains 5.8S ribosomal RNA, internal transcribed spacer 2, and large subunit ribosomal RNA
Rfam family: 5.8S ribosomal RNA (bases 1-105)
Source: RNAcentral
GAAAUGCGAUAAGUAGUGUGAAUUGCAGAAUUCAGUGAAUCAUCGAAUCUUUGAACGCACAUUGCGCCCUUUGGUAUCCCUUGGGGCAUGCCUGUUCGAGCGUCAUCUAAACCCUCAAGCCCUGCUUGGUGUUGGGUGCCUGUCCCGCCCCCGUGCGUGGACUCACCUCAAAUCCAUUGGCGGCCCUCGUGCCGGCCCCGAGCGCAGCAGAAACGCGGUCUCGUGGCUCGGCGGAGCGUGCCCCAGAAGCAACAUUCACCGUUUUGACCUCGGAUCAGGUAGGGAUACCCGCUGAACUUAAGC